UACAGAGGGUGCAAGCGUUAAUCGGAAUGAUUGGGCGUAAAGCGCGCGUAGGUGGUAAGAAAAGUUGGAUGUGAAAUCUUCGGACUCAAUCUGAAAAUGGCAUUCAAAACUGACUUACUAGAGUUCAGCAGAGGAAAGUGGAAUUUCCAGUGUAGCGGUGAAAUGCGUAGAUAUUGGAAGGAACACCAGUGGCGAAGGCGACUUUCUGGGCUGAAACUGACACUAAAGCGCGAAAGCGUGGGGAGCAAACAGGAUUAGAUACCCCCGUA
Molecule: ribosomal RNA, 269 nt
Filed under: uncultured prokaryote
Description: partial 16S ribosomal RNA
Rfam family: Bacterial small subunit ribosomal RNA
Source: RNAcentral